CCCUCGAUAGCUCAGUUGGAAGAGCGUGGGACUGUAAUUGUAAACUAAACAUCCCGAGGUCGCUGGUUCGAACCCGGCUUGAGGGA
Molecule: non-coding RNA, 86 nt
Organism: Ceratobasidium sp. 395
Lineage: Eukaryota; Fungi; Basidiomycota; Agaricomycetes; Cantharellales; Ceratobasidiaceae
Source: the annotation of a GenBank genome assembly